Molecule: long non-coding RNA, 2296 nt
Filed under: Salmo trutta (river trout)
Lineage: Eukaryota; Metazoa; Chordata; Actinopteri; Salmoniformes; Salmonidae
Description: lncRNA (ENSSTUG00000048453.1)
Source: RNAcentral
CGGGGGUGAUUUCCCAAUCAGACAGCUGUCGCUUGUGAAGUCUGAUUGGGAAUCACAUUUAAGUUCCUUUUCCCCCACGAUGUUUGUGGGUUGUUGUCUCGUUAUUUGAGCACGUAACGUAUUGGCAGUUUUUCCUUGAUUUUGUGUACAUGUUUAAUUCUAGUGUGUUAAAUAAACAUGUAUUCGCUCCCAGCUGCGUUUUGGUCCGCUUCCUCGUCUCCCGACGACAAACGUUACAGAACAACCCACCGAACCAGGACCAAGCAGCGGGAGGAAAAGGAGCGCGAGAGAUGGGCUCGCGAGGGAAAGGAGUUCUGGACCUGGGAGGAGAUCAUGUCGGGGAAAGGACCCUGGCGGACCCAGGUCGAGGAGGAAAAGCCAGCCGGUAGACGGAGUCGCAGGCGGCGGUCGAGGAGGCCCGGAAAACAGCCCCAAGAAUUUUUUUUGGGGGGGCUAAUGGGGUGGUCCGGAAGGGCAGAGGAAGAGCCCAGACCACUGCUCUCGUGGGGGAUGACGGCGGAGGAAGAGAAGGAGAUGAGGCGUUUGAUUGAGGACCUGCAGAGGGAAGAUCUGGAGGAGCCAUGGUAUGCUGAGUUGCGCGCUGUGUCGCCAGUGCGCCCGCACAGCCCGGUGCGUCCGGUGGACAUGCCCAGCACAUGCCGUGCUAGGAUGGGCAUCCAGCCAGGACGAGUGGCUAAACCGGCUCCACGCUUCAGGUCACCAGUGCGUGUUCACAGUCCUGUCUGGCCCGUUCCUGUUCCCCGCACCAAGCCCACGGUGCGUGUCCCCAGUCCUGUCCGGCCCGUCCCUGCUCCCCGCACCAAGCCAUGGUAUGCAGAGUUGCGCGCUGUGUCGCCAGUGCGCCCGCACAGCCCAGUGCGUCCGGUGGACAUGCCCAGCACAUGCCGUGCUAGGAUGGGCAUCCAGCCAGGACGAGUGGCUAAACCGGCUCCACGCUUCAGGUCACCAGUACGUGUUCACAGUCCUGUCUGGCCCGUCCCUGCUCCCCGCACCAGGUUAGUGGUGCGUGUCCCCAGUCCUGUCCGGCCCGUCCCUGCUCCCCGCACCAGGUUAGUGGUGCGUGUCCCCAGUCCUGUCCGGCCCGUCCCUGCUCCCCGCACCAGGUUAGUGGUGCGUGUCCCCAGUCCUGUCUGGCCCGUCCCUGCUCCCCGCACCAAGUCAGUGGUGCGUGUCCCCAGUCCGGUCCGGCCCGUCCCUGCUCCCCGCACCAAGUCAGUGGUGCGUGUCCCCAGUCCUGUCCGGCCCGUCCCUGCUCCCCGCACCAGGUUAGUGGUGCGUGUCCCCAGUCCUGUCCGGCCCGUCCCUGCUCCCCGCACCAGGUUAGUGGUGCGUGUCCCCAGUCCGGCCCGGCCCGUCCCUGCUCCCCGCACCAGGUUAGUGGUGCGUGUCCCCAGUCCUGUCCGGCCCGUCCCUGCUCCCCGCACCAGGUUAGUGGUGCGUGUCCCCAGUCCUGUCCGGCCCAUCCCUGUUCCCCGCACCAAGCCCACGAUGCGUGUCCACAGUCCUGUCCGGCCCGUCCCUGUUCCCCGCACCAAGCCCACGGUGCGUGUCCACAGUCCUGUCCGGCCCGUCCCUGUUCCCCGCACCAAGCCCACGGUGCGUGUCCACAGUCCUGUCCGGCCCGUUCCUGUUCCCCGCACCAAGCCCACGGUGCGUGUCCACAGUCCGGCACGGCCCGUGUCUGGUCCACCGGUGCCCAAUCAUGUUCCGGUCGACGGCUCCGCUCCGGAGCCUGAGCAUGCCGCUCCACAGUGGUCCAGUCCGGGCCAGAGGGGUAGGGCUAGGGUGGAGGCAGGGGGAGAAACACGCCCGGGGCCAGAGCCUCCACCGAGGGUGAGGCGCCCACCCGGGUCCCCCCCCUAAUAGACUUUAGUUUGGUGCGCCGGGACUACGCACCGUUGGAGGGGGGGUACUGUCACGCCCUGACCAGGUGAACUCUGCUAUUUUGGUCAGGGUGUGGCAUUUCUAUGCUUUAUUUUCUAUGUUUUGGUUAUAGCCUUUCUUUGUGUUUUAUUUCUAUGUUGGGCUCGGGGGUGAUUUCCCAAUCAGACAGCUGUCGCUUGUGAAGUCUGAUUGGGAAUCACAUUUAAGUUCCUUUUCCCCCACGAUGUUUGUGGGUUGUUGUCUCGUUAUUUGAGCACGUAACGUAUUGGCAGUUUUUCCUUGAUUUUGUGUACAUGUUUAAUUCUAGUGUGUUAAAUAAACAUGUAUUCGCUCCCAGCUGCGUUUUGGUCCGCUUCCUCGUCUCCCGACGACAAACGUUACACACAUUCAA